CUGAUCGGCCACAUUGGACUGAGACCCGGCCCAAACUCCUACGGGAGGCUGCAGUAGGAAUCUUCCACAAUGGGCGAAAGCCUGAUGGAGCAACGCCGCGUGUGUGAUGAAGGCUUUCGGGUCGUAAAGCACUGUUGUAUGGGAAGAAAAGUUAAGGUAGGGAAUGACCUUAGCCUGACGGUACCAUACCAGAAAGGGACGGCUAAAUACGUGCCAGCAGCCGCGGUAAUACGUAUGUCCCGAGCGUUAUCCGGAUUUAUUGGGCGUAAAGCGAGCGCAGACGGUUGGUUAAGUCUGAUGUGAAAGCCCGGAGCUCAACUCCGGAAAGGCAUUGGAAACUGGUUAACUUGAGUGCAGUAGAGGUAAGUGGAACUCCAUGUGUAGCGGUGGAAUGCGUAGAUAUAUGGAAGAACACCAGCGGCGAAGGCGGCUUACUGGACUGUAACUGACGUUGAGGCUCGAAAGUGUGGGUAGCAAACAGGAUUAGAUACCCUGGUAGUCCACACCGUAAACGAUGAACACUAGGUGUUAGGAGGUUUCCGCCUCUUAGUGCCGAAGCUAACGCAUUAAGUGUUCCGCCUGGGGAGUACGACCGCAAGGUUGAAACUCAAAGGAAUUGACGGGGACCCGCACAAGCGGUGGAGCAUGUGGUUUAAUUCGAAGCAACGCGAAGAACCUUACCAGGUCUUGACAUCCUUUGAAGCUUUUAGAAAUAGAAGUGUUCUCUUCGGAGACAAAGUGACAGGUGGUGCAUGGUCGUCGUCAGCUCGUGUCGUGAGAUGUUGGGUUAAGUCCCGCAACGAGCGCAACCCUUAUUGUUAGUUGCCAGCAUUCAGAUGGGCACUCUAGCGAGACUGCCGGUGACAAACCGGAGGAAGGCGGGGACGACGUCAGAUCAUCAUGCCCCUUAUGACCUGGGCUACACACGUGCUACAAUGGCGUAUACAACGAGUUGCCAACCUGCGAAGGUGAGCUAAUCUCUUAAAGUACGUCUCAGUUCGGACUGCAGUCUGCAACUCGACUGCACGAAGUCGGAAUCGCUAGUAAUCGCGGAUCAGCACGCCGCGGUGAAUACGUUCCCGGGUCUUGUACACACCGCCCGUCACACCAUGGAAGUUUGUAAUGCCCAAAGCCGGUGGCCUAACCGUAAGGAGGGAACC
RNAcentral lists this ribosomal RNA (1160 nucleotides) under Leuconostoc carnosum. RNAcentral's name for it is "bacterial SSU rRNA". It matches the Rfam family "Bacterial small subunit ribosomal RNA", at positions 300 to 1454 of the family's 1533-position model. The record is from RNAcentral. Lineage: Bacteria; Bacillati; Bacillota; Bacilli; Lactobacillales; Lactobacillaceae.